UGCCUUAGCGGCCGUGAAUCGAACCCGGGGCGCCCGCGUGGCAGGCGAGCAUUCUACCACUGAACCACCGAUGC
RNAcentral lists this transfer RNA (74 nucleotides) under Cordylochernes scorpioides. Its description in RNAcentral is "tRNA-Gly". Lineage: Eukaryota; Metazoa; Arthropoda; Arachnida; Pseudoscorpiones; Chernetidae. The record is from RNAcentral.